Molecule: long non-coding RNA, 348 nt
Organism: Drosophila biarmipes
Lineage: Eukaryota; Metazoa; Arthropoda; Insecta; Diptera; Drosophilidae
Exons: 2
Source: RefSeq, a predicted model, not a curated record
AGUUUUUUGUUUGAUAUGUACGUGUAAAUUUCCCAGGCAGCACGUAUGCCGCUUUAACAAGGGUAACCAAGGAAAAUGGUUUUUAAUGUACCUCACAAGCAACCUUUUAACCACUGCCGGUACUUAGAAAAAACGGCAACUUUUUAAUAACAUCACAACGUCCAUUUAUUUUUUUCGGUCUGUCACUGCACACGUUCUAUGUGGAACACCCAGCAAUUUCACAGCUCAGCAUCAGCAGUGCAAAUGGAUGUUGGGGAAAAAAGAGGUUCGAGAUGGGUGGCAGAGAGCGGAAGCGAGAAAAUUGCAUCAUAGUGUCGCAUAUAAAAAUAAACGCAACCGGUUACAAGA